This 2828-nucleotide long non-coding RNA is filed under the name Mus musculus (house mouse). Its description in RNAcentral is "long non-coding RNA chr19:22338979-22341807". Lineage: Eukaryota; Metazoa; Chordata; Mammalia; Rodentia; Muridae. The record is from RNAcentral.
UUUUUUUUUUUUUUUUUUUUGGCUAAGGCAUUCUUUCAAAGCUUCUGCUUUCAAAACGCACCAAGUGUGUGCUUAAAAUCUUGAGAGUCCUUCCAAAAUGUCAAUCCUUGGGAGGCUCGCCGCCACGGCAGGCUUUUUAAGUGUGUGGCAGUAACUGGGCGUAACAUGUGACUGACACGACAAGGCUCUCUGUGAGUGUUAAGGUUGAAUGGGAAAGUCAAGAUGACAGUAUAGAACCAAGUCAUGGUUGGCUGGAAAGCAGGCUUGAUAUUACCUCGCUGCACCUUUGAAUCAGUUAAGAUCGGAUUCUGGCAAACAACAGUGUAAAGAAACAAAUGCUCAGCUAAUUAGAAUGCAAAGGGAUGAGGGGAUGAGGUGACAUCGGAUGGUCACAGGUUGGUUAGCACACAAGCUAAGGACUAACCUUUCUGACUUCCCCUUCUACCUUCCCAUCUGUUAGCUCUGUCCUCCGGCUUGUCUCUUCAUGGCCACUAGUUCAUUUUGUGUGUCUAGCAGUUGUGCUUAGAUACUAGACUGUCCAAAAGAAUAAAAGACAUCUAACUCCACCCAAAGGCCCCAGAAGUAAACACCCUCUGUUCCCUUUGCCUGGCGUUGCUUGGAUACUCAUUUCUGGGUCACACAGUGGUGGGGUAAUUUGAUUUCCAUCAGAGCCUGAACUCUUAGACUUAUCACUAAGUCACUUAGUGGAGGGAAGAAUUUCCCAAUGGAAAACAUGGAAGGAGUGUAAAUGGGUCUGAGCUUGGCAAGUGACCACUGCUGAGGCUUUUCUUUGCUCACAGUUAUUGGUGAUAUGGGAGAACAUGAACAGAUUCAGUUACCAGAGGAAUGAGGAGGUCCUUUGCAUCUCAGGUGUUUCGGUGUUCUCAGCGUUACAGUGGUCCACCCACCUUUGAGAUUAUGCUGUCAGCCCAGGGAAGGCUGCUUUGUUUUGUAUCACAGCAAAUAUCUUCCCAUUUAUCUCCUCUCAGAUUUCCAUUUAGCUAAUAAAAGGAAUCAUUUGUUAGCAGAUAAAUAUUGAAACUUCUGAGCUUUCCUGCUUUAAAGCAUAGUUCAAGUUUAUAAGUGUUGAGCGGUAAUCCCGAGAUAUCAGCAAUGUCUAGGCUGCAGAAAGUGAUUGGAUUCUGUCUUCUGUAUGAGCCCAUGGUCCAUCAUUGCAGUAAAGUACCCGAGUUAACAGGUUUCAUGGAGGAAAAUUUUGUUUCAUGCAAUGACCAACUGAUUAUUUUGUAACUCUGGUAUCUGUGGUGAAGACAGAGCCAGAGCAGGGUAGUUACCUCUUGGUAAGAAAGAAGCAGAGAUUGGAUGGAGGGCAAGUGGGGAGGGGGGCUGAGGAGUGCUGUGAUCCACUUUCUCCCAGGAGUGCCACCAGAUGGAGAACAACCCUUGGAGACAGACCUGCAGGGGCAUUUCAGGGCCAAUGGAAAUCCUGUAGGGGCUCCUUCUUCACUCUGAGAUAAUUGCCUGGUCUCUCUUACAAAACAAGAUCUGCUUGUUAUAAAUUCCAUCAAAUGGCCAUGAGUCUCCCUUCCUAAUGUUUAAUAAGUUGCCCCCAACUUUGGAUGUUAACUGUUACCUUGUGUCUUUGACUUUUUCUGCCAUUUUCUGCUGAUUCCUCGAGUUUUGUCCUCCCAGUUCUCCAGGACACAGAGGCUGGACCCUGGAGAGUGUCUUUGACCAUUACCACCUUGUGCUCUGAGCUGCCAGCUGCUGCGGAUUGUCUCGGGAAUUGUCUUAUUCACCCCCAAGCUGCUGCUAUUUCUCACUGAAGUCAUUUUAGAUUCUCAGAGAUCGGCAGACUCUCUUCCCUGAAUUUGGCUUUUCAACAGUCUGGCAUUUGAAAUAGGGUUUCUGUUUGGCUAUUUUUUGCUUUUAUUAAAUAUUCCGAGAGGUAACCUUUCAGUAACCUAUAUUUGCUUCUUUGUACACUAGAAUUACGUGCUGCACAUGAAACCUAAGGAGGCUAAAAUGGUAGUAACCAGCUACGGAGUACAGAGAAAGCAUUAAUUAAAGUGUCUCACAGCUAAAUCUUCUCUAUUAAGGAGAUAAAUUAGAACUGUUGGAAUUUACAGAGGCCAAUUUUGAGACGGCAAAAUAAAUCCUAUUUUUAAUCGUACCCUGAAAGUAGGUUGACGUAAUUGUAGGCAAAUGUCAGUAAAUUCUGGGAAACCAGUUAUUUAUAUAAACGGUUAUUACAUGGGGUGCAAAUCCAGGCCUUGUUGUUAUUCCUUAAAGUCACUGUGUGCUUUUCUUUUUAUUCCUGUGAUUCCAAUCCUAAAUCCAUGUACCAAGUGCAUGAAGGGGCCACACCUUCAGGACUGCUGCUGACUCUGUAUGCAAUGGUCUCUUGACCAAUCUCUCACUUCACUGACUUUUCUCCAUUCAAAAGUCCAAAAUUUGGGCCAGCAAGAUUUUUUAAUAGCUAAAAACUCUUAGUACUAAGACUGACAGCUUGAGUUCAAAUCCUGGGACCCACUUGGUAGAAAGAGACAACCAAUUCCCAAGAGUCACCAUCCAGUUCCCACAAAACAUGCUAUAGCACACCCCACCCCUACCACACCACGUCACACACACACACACACACACACACACACACACACACACACACAUGUACAGACAUUAAGAUGUUCUUGCAGCUGGGCAGUGGUGGCGCAUGCCUUUAAUCCCAGCACUUGGAGACAGAGACAGGUGGAUUUCUGAAUUCAAGGCCAGCCUGGUCUACAAAGUGUGUUCCAGGACAGCCAGGGCUAUACAGAGAAACCUGUCUCGAAAAAAACCAAAAGACCAAAAACAAACAAACAAACAAACAA